Molecule: transfer RNA, 68 nt
Filed under: Marmota monax (woodchuck)
Lineage: Eukaryota; Metazoa; Chordata; Mammalia; Rodentia; Sciuridae
Description: tRNA.Ala
Source: RNAcentral
GUUGCGGCUCAGUGGUAGAGCACUUGCCUAGCACACGUGAGGUACUGGGUUUGAUCCCCAGAGCCACA